This is a long non-coding RNA of Chenopodium quinoa (quinoa), 652 nucleotides long. RefSeq lists it as uncharacterized. The transcript is spliced from 3 exons. The record is from RefSeq and is a predicted model, not a curated record. Lineage: Eukaryota; Viridiplantae; Streptophyta; Magnoliopsida; Caryophyllales; Amaranthaceae.
UGGCGCAUUAUACUACUAGAAUUAGGCCAUUUUCCGACGGAAUCGUUCCGACGAACCUAAAUUUUCGUCGAAAUAUUCGAAUUUUCCGACGGAAUUAGCAUCCGUCAGAAAAUUCCGUCAGAAAAAGGUACGUUACGACGGAAAGUCCCUCAAACUUCUUGCGACGGAAUUAAAUUCCGUCGGAACAGGUUAUAAUACAACAUAACAUAGGAUGCUCAGCCUUGUUAUUCAAGAAAUUUCAGCAAAAGCAACAGAGGAGAGAGAAAAAAAGAACUAGAAAGAGAAAGAGAAAGAGGAAGAGGAAGAAAGAGGAAGAGUUGUCUCAAAUCCGCCGCCACCACCGGGUUCCACGCACCGCCUUGGCCGCCGUUUGCUAUCACCGACCACCGUUGCCACCAAAGCAAGGUUCUGCCGCCCUUGACGCCGCCGGUGCCACCACCGACGCCACCUCUGACCUCCUCCCCUCCGUCGCUGCGACCAGAACCACCACAAAUUCCGGUAAGUCCUCCUAACCUCCGACCUCCUCCCCUCCAUUGCUUUGGUGUUUGGUGAUUUAUGUUUAAGCUUAGAUGUUUGAGUGAAAGACAUUUUUUUUAUCUUUAAUUUUUGUGUAGGAUUUGUACAAUUAGUAGGUUGAAAACGUCACAUUACA